RNAcentral lists this ribosomal RNA (460 nucleotides) under uncultured bacterium. Its description in RNAcentral is "partial 16S ribosomal RNA". It matches the Rfam family "Bacterial small subunit ribosomal RNA", at positions 338 to 795 of the family's 1533-position model. The record is from RNAcentral.
CCUACGGGAGGCAGCAGUGAGGAAUAUUGGUCAAUGGCCGUAAGGCUGAACCAGCCAAGUCGCGUGAAGGAAGCAGGAUCUAUGGUUUGUCAACUUCUUUUAUAGGGGAAUAAAGGUCUCCAUGUGUGGAUAUUUGCAUGUCCCCUCUGAUUAAGCAUUGGCUAACUCCGUGCCAGCAGCCGCGGUAAUUCGGAGGAUGCGAGCGUUAUCCGGAUUUAUUGGGUUUAAAGGGUGCGUAGGUUGGUUUUUAAGUCAGCGGUGAAAGUUUGUGGCUAAACCAUAAAAUUGCCGUUGAAACUGGUAGACUUGAGUGUGUUUGAGGUAGGCGGAAUGCGUGGUGUAGCGGUGAAAUGCAUAGAUAUCACGCAGAACUCCGAUUGCGAAGGCAGCUUACUAAGCCAUAACUGACACUGAAGCACGAAAGCGUGGGGAUCAAACAGGAGUAGAUACCCUAGUAGUC